AGCGAACGCUGGCGGCAGGCUUAACACAUGCAAGUCGAGCGGGCACUUUCGGGUGUCCGCGGCGGACGGGUGAGUAACGCGUGGGAACGUGCCCUCUGGUUCGGAAUAACUCAGGGAAACUUGAGCUAAUACCGGAUACGCCCUUUUGGGGAAAGGCUUGCUGCCGGAGGAUCGGCCCGCGUCUGAUUAGCGAGUUGGUGAGGUAACGGCUCACCAAGGCGACGAUCAGUAGCUGGUCUGAGAGGAUGAUCAGCCACACUGGGGCUGAGGCACGGCCCAGACUCCGACGGAAGGGAGCAGAGGGGAAUAUUGGAGGCUGGGGGCAAGCCUGGUCCAGCCAUGCCGGGUAAGUGAUGAAGGCGUUAGGGUUGUAAAGCUCUUUUAUCCGGGACGAUAGUGACGGUAACGGGGGAAUAAGCCCCGGCUAACUUCGUG
This 435-nucleotide ribosomal RNA is filed under the name uncultured bacterium. Its description in RNAcentral is "partial 16S ribosomal RNA". It matches the Rfam family "Bacterial small subunit ribosomal RNA", at positions 30 to 507 of the family's 1533-position model. The record is from RNAcentral.